RNAcentral lists this ribosomal RNA (155 nucleotides) under uncultured Chitinophaga sp. Its description in RNAcentral is "partial 16S ribosomal RNA". It matches the Rfam family "Bacterial small subunit ribosomal RNA", at positions 355 to 507 of the family's 1533-position model. The record is from RNAcentral. Lineage: Bacteria; Pseudomonadati; Bacteroidota; Chitinophagia; Chitinophagales; Chitinophagaceae.
UAAGGAAUAUUGGGCAAUGGACGAAAGUCUGACCCAGCCAUGCCGCGUGAAGGAUGAAGGUCCUCUGGAUUGUAAACUUCUUUUAUCUGGGGCGAAAACCUCCCUUUCUAGGGGGCUUGACAGUACCAGAGGAAUAAGCACCGGCUAACUCCGUG